AUACGGAGGAUCCGAGCGUUAUCCGGAUUUAUUGGGUUUAAAGGGUGCGUAGGUGGUUUGAUAAGUCAGCGGUGAAAGUUUGCAGCUUAACUGUAAAAAUGCCGUUGAAACUGUCGGACUUGAGUGUAAAUGAGGUAGGCGGAAUGCGUGGUGUAGCGGUGAAAUGCAUAGAUAUCACGCAGAACUCCGAUUGCGAAGGCAGGUUAAUAAGCUUAAACGUACCCUGAAGCACGAAAGCGUGGGGGUCAAACCGGAUUAGAUACCCUUGUAGGACACGCAGUAAACGAUGAAUAAUAGCUGUUUGCGAUAAACAGUAAGCGGCACAGCGAAAACGUUAAGUAAUCCCCCUGGGGAGUACGCCGGCAACCGUGAAACUCAAAUGAAUUGACGGGG
This 393-nucleotide ribosomal RNA is filed under the name uncultured bacterium. RNAcentral describes it as "partial 16S ribosomal RNA". It matches the Rfam family "Bacterial small subunit ribosomal RNA", at positions 523 to 918 of the family's 1533-position model. The record is from RNAcentral.